AGUGUAUGAUAGUCUCUUUUCCCCAUGACUUUGACAAUGAUGUGUAUCACCAAACGUGAUGACCUUUUCCAAUCAUGUGGUGUUUCACUCUUGUUACCCAGGCUGGAGUGCAAUGGCACGAUCUCGGCUCACUGCCAUCUCUGCCUCCCGGGUUCCAGCGAUUCUUCUGCCUCAGCCUCCUGAGUAGCUGGGAUUACAGGAAAAAUGGCUGCUGUAUGAAAGGAAGAUAAUUCACUUUAGACUGGAAGCUCCCACAGGAAAACAUCUCAGCCACUUCAACCUUCAGCAACAACCACCCUGAUAAGUCAGCUACCAUCCACAUUAAGCUGAAACCAAGGAUAAAGGCCAACCAUUGCUAUUUAUCAAUGCCCAGCUAAUUAGUGAGUAAAAAGAUGAAAGUGAAUCUUUUAAAAACUAGUCUAAUAUGAAGAAAACAACAGUUAACUGAGCUCUUAUAACAUAGUCAUCUAUUUUU
This is a long non-coding RNA of Pan troglodytes (chimpanzee), 475 nucleotides long. RefSeq lists it as uncharacterized. NCBI's taxonomy places the organism in Eukaryota, Metazoa, Chordata, Mammalia, Primates, Hominidae. The transcript is spliced from 5 exons. The record is from RefSeq and is a predicted model, not a curated record.